GUGCGUGUGAAAGUUAAAUAUUAUAGAAGAACACCACGAUUGGGAUGAUUGUAGUGAUAAUUUAUUAAUGGACCGAGGAUGUAAUUCGUAUUCGAAGAAAUCAAGAGGAAGAUAAGUAACAUUGAUAGAAGAUUGCUGCAAACUAGUCUUAUAUAGGAACGAUCACAAAAUACAGACUCGAUUUUUUAUUAUUCAAAAAAUAAUAUUCAAAUUUCACGGGUGUAAUAUUAUCUCAGCG
This is a non-coding RNA of Cinara cedri, 238 nucleotides long. NCBI's taxonomy places the organism in Eukaryota, Metazoa, Arthropoda, Insecta, Hemiptera, Aphididae. The record is from the annotation of a GenBank genome assembly.